RNAcentral lists this ribosomal RNA (520 nucleotides) under uncultured bacterium. RNAcentral describes it as "bacterial SSU rRNA". It matches the Rfam family "Bacterial small subunit ribosomal RNA", at positions 19 to 518 of the family's 1533-position model. The record is from RNAcentral.
CUGGCUCAGAACGAACGCUGGUAGCGUGGAUUAGGCAUGCAAGUCGGACGGGAUCGGCUGGUUAGCAAUAAUCGGCCGUGAGAGUGGCGGAUUGGGGAGGAACACGUGAGCAACCUGCCCCUGGGACGGGGAAAACCGUUGGAAACGACGGCUAAUACCGGAUGCGGCGCCGCGGGACAUCCCGCGAGCGUCAAAGGGGGCCGCAAGGCUCCCGCCCUGGGAGGGGCUCGCGCACCAUCAGCUUGUUGGCGGGUAACGGCCCACCAAGGCCUACGGUUAGCUGGUCUGAGAGGAUGACCAGCCCCACUGGGACUGAGAUACUGCCCAGACUCCUACGGGAGGCUGCAGUCGAGGAUCAUUUGCAAUGGGCGAAAGCCUGACAAUGCGACGCUGCGUGGAGGAAUGAAGGCCUUCGGGUCGUAAACUCCUGUCAUGAGGGAACAGGCGAGGGUACCCAACACGUACCUUAGUUGAGUGUACUUCAAGAGGAAGGGACGGCUAACUCUGUGCCAGCAGCCGC